This is a long non-coding RNA of Camelus dromedarius (Arabian camel), 2717 nucleotides long. RefSeq lists it as uncharacterized. Lineage: Eukaryota; Metazoa; Chordata; Mammalia; Artiodactyla; Camelidae. The transcript is spliced from 3 exons. The record is from RefSeq and is a predicted model, not a curated record.
CGGCUGCAGAAAAAGAAUCUGUUUUAAGGACACUAUCAGAAAAGAAUGGCCAAGUUGGGUGAAGCCGCUGCUGACGGACGACUACGCUGCUUACUUCAUAUGAACUUAGCAACUUGUACCACAUAACCUGGCUGGUCAGUGAUGAAGGACGAGAACCACCUCUGGUCCAGCCUCAGAGCCUUUCUCUACCCCAUCACCCUCAUCUGUCAAGUAUUUGCGAGGCUCUGUGGGUGACCCAGAAGAAAGUGUGUUUCAGGAUGAAGCUCACACUGAAGCGGCAAAGAGGAAAGAGCGAAGGACACCGAGCUGGUGGGAAAGGUCGGGCCACGUGCUCCAUCUCAUGGUUCUGAGCAAAGAGGGAAGGGGCAGAGCAAAGUAGCAAAUACAGAAAGAUCUAUUUGCUCGCAGUCGUGCCCCGCCUGCCGAAGCAUGCUGAAGAGGCCUGGAGACAUGAUUAACCUCUCUUGCUACCUUCCUCAAGCUCGAGUGGCCAGGCUUGGCAAGAUGCUGUGCUUUGCUGCUGCAAUGACAGCGCCCACAGUGGCCUGGGAACAAAUCGAAAGUGAAGUUGAUAACGCAGGGAAUAAGUGAACGCUGGCUGCCGGGGCAGGACACUCCAGCAGAGCGAGGGUGGUCACUGGACGAUACGAUGUGGUUUGGGUUCGACAGGGUGACUUCGAAGAUGCCUCGUUUCUCUGAUUCUCUGAUGGUCAAUGAAACACCACACCUUGGCUAGAGCUACGUUUUCUUGGUUUGCCUUGUUUAAUCCGAUCUCCCUUGCUUCUUCUUUUCCCAUAGCUUGUCUCCAGGUUUUAAGGACCUCUUUGGUGUCUGCACCUUCUUUUCCAUCACUUCUGUUCCCAUUCAGCCUCAUUUGUUUUCCUAUUUCCCUUUUUUUUUCCCUUGCUAUUUGGAUACCUGUCAUAUACCUACCCCCAGGGGCCCACAUGGCAGUGUCCUCAAUUCCUGGAAUGCCUAAUUUUACCCACUAUUUUGGAGAUGGGGCUAGGUUUCCUUAAAAGAGAAAAAAAAAAAAAAAAGAUCCCUGACACUGCCUGUUUCCAUCCCUAAGGCUCAAAUAAUUGGAAAGACUAUUGUCUGAGGAAAGAUAGUUUCUAAUGAGCGAUACACAAGGAAGAAAAUCUGAUCUUCCCAAGCGAAAUUCCUGACAAACCAUAAACUCCGCAAGAAAGACGCAGAGCACUUCUCUCGUGGUGCCCAAGGUACCACGUCUCUAAGCUGACAUCAUAGGAAAGCCUUUGUGCAUAAGUAGACUGUGUGUUAAUAAAAUAAUAUUUAUGAUUCAGCGUUUUUUUCCUUUUAAGUAUCAAGCUGUAUCCUAGAGGAACAAAAAUAAAAGAAGUUGAUGUCUACAAUAUAACUAUUAAGGGGGAAUUUGCUCCACUGUUAUUUGGAUGUAAUUGGUACUGAGCAUCACAAUGCACUUGUAAUUGGGUCUGUCCUUGUUCACUUCAAGGGUUCCAUGCGAUUUCUACUUGAACCCAUUUUUUUGAUACCGUUCAGCUCAGCAGUGCCAGCUAACUCUUGUUAUGUAGUUGAAAAACUGUGGCCAUUAAAAAUAGGAUACAGUGUGAUUUUGUUUUGCAGCACUGCAUGGAAAAUCAGUUGCUGUUCAUAACAGCUCUGUGGUUGGUUGAUUUAAAGCAGGGGGGUGACUUGGAAUUGACAAGCAGACAGUUUGUGAAAAGGGAUAUUGUAUCUUUAAGGCUUUCUGACUGAUUGUGUUUAACUGCACCACGCAGCAGGCAGUAAUUAGGCUGCAGCUUCACCGAGAGGCUUAAAGCACCGGCUCUGGUUCUCAGUUCUUCAGAUUUUGUUUUAAAGCACAAACAUUUUUUUGGAUUUGAAUCCAUGAUAAUUUUUUUUUAAACCGUGAGAGCAUGUGUAAGUGAGCAAAUGAAAAGCUGACCCCAGAGGCUUUCUGUACAGACCAUCUCUGGGGACCGCCCUGCGCCAACGGACUCUCGGGAGACCAGGCGGCCGCCCUGGGAAGCGGUGAACACGGGGAUAGCAGCACAUGAUGCUGGAGAAGGUCAAGGUGCUCUUGAAAUGAAAGGAAGGCAGCUCUGAGAACAUGACAUGGUUUCUUCUGGCCCAGUUCACAAUGUUAAUGAGACUAGUUGAAGCAUGCUUCUAAGAUUAAUAGACAAAAAUGCCUGAUAAUUUUUGUUUAGGGGAAUGAGAAUUUUUCCUUCAGCUAGGCUACAAAGUAGAAAAGAGAGUAUGUUACAGAAGCAAAUCAAUUAAGCCAUUCGUUUCAGGAAUGAUUUCCAUGCACUGCUCUGCCUCCCUGAUUGCCCCCUCCCACCUCUUAUAAUACCCCAUUGCUGUUUUUAAAAAUGGUAAACAUUGUCAAUCAUUAUUUGGUGAAGUCGAGUUUCAAGUUUUUCAGACAUUUGUUAUCACAGAGAAGCAGUUGACAGAUUUUAUGUUGACCUUAUAAAAAAUGAACGUUCAAUUACUGGAUUGACUAAGGUAGCUGUCUUCAUUAUCAAUCAGACCACAGGGGCUGAGUCCCAACUCUGUGCAAGAUGCUACACCAGGAGCUGUGAGAGAGAACGUUUGUUCUGGAAACAUACUUGUGGUCUUGCCUGACACUAUGUAUAAACUUCUCUUCCUUUUCCUAAUUAUCUGGGUGAGUUAUUCCAUAUAGGUUUGGGUAUCAUUUAAUUCUUAAAUUACUUAUUUUUUCUUAU